Small nucleolar RNA from Phyllostomus hastatus (greater spear-nosed bat), 127 nucleotides. RefSeq annotates it as small nucleolar RNA SNORA44. The record is from RefSeq and is a predicted model, not a curated record. NCBI's taxonomy places the organism in Eukaryota, Metazoa, Chordata, Mammalia, Chiroptera, Phyllostomidae. The transcript has a single exon.
AUGAAAUAUUAUAGAUGUGUGGCUGGUUGUAGCCACAGGAUCUCCAGCUGCAGGGUGAGCAACCUGGAGAGACUGACAGCUCAGGUCUGUGAAAUACCUGCAGCUGCCACUUGCCUUUCCUAGUGCA